UUCAUGCGCUACUGCAUGUUGCUCUGGAUAAGAGCAUCUGCUAAAUGAAUAAAU
Molecule: non-coding RNA, 54 nt
Organism: Salmo salar (Atlantic salmon)
Lineage: Eukaryota; Metazoa; Chordata; Actinopteri; Salmoniformes; Salmonidae
Source: Rfam